GCAAGAGAAUCACUUGAACCUGGAGGCAGAGGUUGCAGUGAGCUGAGAUCGCGCCAAAGGAAAGGGUCAAGGCAGAUCCAUUUCCCUCAACAUUUGGGCACAGACAGGCCUUUCUGGUAUAGGGGGAAGAGGCGGAUUUUGAUUUCGAGCCCCGUAAUUUGUUGAUUCUGAGAGUGUGCCCAUAGACAGGUUCACUGAAGGCUGCGUGGACAGCAAAUGCAACGGGCUUUAUGUUGAAUGGUGGCACACUUUGGGGAGCAGAGGAUGCACUGUAGGCUCACACCCUACAUCCGUGUGUUCCCUCUGUGUCCCAAGCCCAGGGGGAUGCCCAGCCUCAUCCUGCCCUGUCUUCCCAGGGCCAGCGGCAGUCAGCCCAUGUGGCUGCUGCACGAACCCCGCACUGACGCUGGACCAAGGCCUUGAGUGCCGUGCACGGACCACCUGCUUCGGACCCCACACCUGCAGUGCUGGGGAAAAUUACACCUUUUGGGGCCCCACGCCAGACCUCCCAGUCAGGAUCUCUGGGGUCUGUGCCUGGGGACUGCACUGAACCUUCAUCUCGGGUGAUUUGAGAGCCCCAUGAGAGUCCACCUGUGCCUUCCACACCUUUCCUCUGGGGGUGACCGUCCCACAGGGACCAGCCCCAGCCCUGCUCUCCGGGCCCCUACCACCACUGCCUCUUCAAACGCCGGCCCAUGAACCCCACAGGCACCCCGUAAGGCCGGCAGCAUCGUUUCCAGAUGGGCCCAGAAGCUUGAGCCGUGGCAAAGCUCAUGGGAUUUGGGAGCUGGGAUUCUGGGCUACUGUGCCUUGCACUCGCCCAAACCCAGCAGAGACUGUGGACUGGAGCAAGAGCGCUGUGAACCCAGCCUGGCUGCUCCCUGGAGAGGAGGGCGCGGGACUGGACUGAGCCCCACAAGCCUGAGGGAGGAGCACGGGCCUCAGGGGCUCCUGCUCUGGGCUACCACGGCUUCUUCCUGGCUGUGUUUCUUCUGGUCCAUCGGGCAACCUCUCUGAAUUCAACUGUCCAAUCAACAAAACGUGGGUAAGGGAGCACCCCUUUGCCUCUUCCAGGGUGGAAGGGGAGGGCGGGGGUGACCCUCUCUCGGCUUCCUCCCCUGUCCACCUUCCCAUUUUAGACCUGGGAUGGGAGACGUGUAGACUGUGUUCCAGGAUUCAGUCCCAGGUUCUUGGCAGAUGUGAAUGCUUGGCUGCCCUUCAGGCUGAGUGUAGCUGCCACAAAGACAAAGGGCCCAGCUGACCCUAGGGCUACUGUGUGCCCUCAUUCUGAGGCCUGCGAGUUGCCAGCCCUAUCCCUUCAAAGGGGUAGUUAGGUGCGUGUAUCUCACACCUGGACGCAUCACAAUGAGGUGGGAAAGUCAAGCACCUCCACAGCCCUUCCCUCUGGGACCCAGGGGAGUCUUCCCAGCCCCUAGCACUCCCCACUCUCCACCAAGGCCAACCAGCACCUGAGGGCAGGCCCCUCCCUGCCCCCAGCACAACUUCCUGACCAGGGACCACAGGCCUAGGGUCUGUGUCACUGAUCAACUGUGAAGGCUGAGACAUAGCCACCCCCACCCAUUCUGAAAAGGAAAAGCCCUCAGAGCUUCCCAGACUGGCACCUGCUCCUAGGGUGUGAGGAGGGUAGCACAGGGUCUGCCCUCAGAGACCUCAGGCUCAGAGAAUCAAGCUUCUCCCUCCCCUCCUGGGACCUACAGGGUCUGAGAUCGUCCACCAGGAGGAGGAGAAAGGAGUAGAGACCCCCUUCCUCGCUGCUGUCCUGGGACAGCCGGCACCCCUGGCACCCUCUGCCUCCCCACACUUCCAUGGCUUUGCCCUCUUGGCUUUCUGAGCCUCUGCCAAGCUUCUGUGCAUUCUUCAAGACCCACCUCAAAAGCCACCUCCAGGAAGCUGUCCUGGGUUCCUGUCCCUCGACCCCCAACAGAAUUAACUGCCCUCUCCUCUGCUCCCGCCUCCUGCUCCAGGCCCCUGGGGCUCACAGCUCUCAGGCUGUGGUUUUUCUCACCUUCCUGCAGCACAGCACCUCCCUGCGCAGACCAACCUUAUCCAAUCAACAAACGGGCACUGAGUCCCUCCCUGAGCAAGCUCCGUGGAGGAAAGGGGCCGCCACGUGGGGGAUGUGAGAUAGUUUAUCCCCUUGGCCUACAUGUAGGGGUGGGCUGGAUGAGGCACCCCUCUCAUUGAAAGUCCUGUGGAGGCUCUGAGGGCACCCACAGUAUCUAGAGCUGGGGCCAGAAGCUGGACCUGUUGCCAACCAAGACGCUGUCUCCCUGGCCCUUGCUUCCCUCACUGUGAGAAUAGGAGCGGUGCACGCAAAGGCAUGCCCUCAGCAGCCCUUUGAGGGGGGUGCUGUGAGGGGAUUGGUGGCCAGGGCACAGAAAGGUUAAGUGGCUGGCUGAGGUCACACAGCAAGGCAGGUGCAACUCCAAGAGGUCUCUGCACAGGGCAUGUUCUCUGUCUGCCCUCUCUGCUACUCCAGGUGUGGCCUCGGGAGAGGGCUGGUCUCCAACUGCACACUUCCUGGAUAGCAGUGAUCAUGGACACAUUUCAGGUUGGGCACUUGCAGUGCCAAGGGGAGGAGGACGCAAUGUGAAGGGAAGGUUUCUUGGUCGUGGUCUGGAUUGACAAGGAGGGCCAGAGGCAAACAAGGAUCAUCCAGACGGGACGGUUCACCUCUCCCUAACCUCCACAGCGACCCCAGGGCUGUUGGGCACCAGAGGAGGAAAUGCUGACUCACUAAUAGGAAGCUGGGACACACCCUCGUGUUGCAACCGUGGCCUCCCGGGGGUGCGUCGGCCUCAUCUGGCCACUGGGCUGGCGUCCCCCUCUGCUUUCCAUCAGCGCAUACUGGAUUCCCUCACCUUUUGCCGUCCCCACACUGCGCCACCCUGCACCUGGCACCACUCAGCACCUCCUCCUGGCCCUACCCGUCCGCCAUGGAAUCCAGCCACUGAGAAAGGCACCAUUGAAACAGACAUAAUCAUGGGUCAGAAGAUGUGACUCAGCCUCUACUCAAAUCUGUUUGUCAAACCAAAAGGUGCUUCGUGUUUAAGUCAAACUAUCCCUAAUGCAUUUUCCAUUCUCUUCAAAAACCACAGCCAUCAGUUUUAAAAAAAGACAGAAAACAUGAAGCACACUUCUCUUGCCUGGCUUACCAUUUUCUUUGAUCCAUUAAAAUCCAAGAGUGAGCCCUUCCUCGUCUCUAGAGUGUGGAGCAAAGAGGGAAUAAUUAUCCAUAAAGUGGCCUUCUGAGUGUUUGCUUUGCGAUGAAAGAAAACUUUUGAGAGCUUGGAAUAAAGAAGGAAUAUGUUUAACAAGAUUGGACUUACGCAAUGGCAAGAAGGAAACCGAGAUUGAAAAUGACCAAUUUUGCUGGUUGAGAGGCGUCUUGUUUUCUGGAAGAAACUGAGAAUCUGCAGUUGUAGACUGGGAAUGCUAGAACCUCUGGAGUGGCAUCAACUCGAUCGGGGGCCAAAACCAUGAGAAAGCACCAAUAUUUUCCACCGUUUUUAACCAAACUCGGCUGUUGUUGGUCUAAAACCUGCCCUGGGUUUUGAGGGAGCGGUGCUUUUGUGAGCCCAGCUUGCCUUGAGUGCAUGGAUGGGAACCUGAAACCAGCCAGUCUUGCCUCCCACCCUCUCAACUUUUCCAGUAAAAAAUGUGACGGGCACUUUUUUUCCAGUAAAACUGUUCCCCCAGCAGGACAGCCUAUAUGCAGCUAGGUUCCUGGCAAAUGAGCAGGGAAUAAUAGCUGGCUAGAGGUGGGCGGGACUGAAAUACAGCUGUCCACCUCUCCGGAAAACAUCACCCAGGGUUCUCCCCAUCCCCAUCUGACCUUCCAGCCACUAAACAAAUAAAUAAGGCCUUAGAAGCUCCUAGAGUCAACCACAGCCUCAGCUUCUAAACCGAGGCUGUGAUUCUACGAAACUC
RNAcentral lists this long non-coding RNA (3951 nucleotides) under Homo sapiens (human). RNAcentral's name for it is "HSALNT0406416". The record is from RNAcentral. Lineage: Eukaryota; Metazoa; Chordata; Mammalia; Primates; Hominidae.